This 253-nucleotide ribosomal RNA is filed under the name uncultured bacterium. RNAcentral's name for it is "partial 16S ribosomal RNA". It matches the Rfam family "Bacterial small subunit ribosomal RNA", at positions 524 to 776 of the family's 1533-position model. The record is from RNAcentral.
UACAGAGGGUGCGAGCGUUAAUCGGAAUUACUGGGCGUAAAGCGCACGUAGUCGGCUUUGCAAGUCGGGUGUGAAAUCCCCGGGCUCAACCUGGGAACUGCAUCCGAGACUGCAUUGCUAGAGUAUGGGAGAGGGAAGCGGAAUUUCUGGUGUAGCAGUGAAAUGCGUAGAUAUCGGGAGGAACACCGGUGGCGAAGGCGGCGACCUGGGUAGAUACUGACGCUGAGGCGCGAAAGCGUGGGGAGCAAACAGG